This 93-nucleotide non-coding RNA is filed under the name unclassified sequences. RNAcentral's name for it is "pemK RNA". It matches the Rfam family "pemK RNA". The record is from RNAcentral.
AUAAUGAUACUUCCGUUCCGUCAUAGCCCCCAGCAGGGGAACACGCAAUGAGAGCGGCCGGGUGAAAACCACGCGGGGGUGAGAUUCCCAUGU